ACUCUCUGAACAAUCUCCAGCAGCCUGUCGCAGAUCUGAGUCAGGGGCGAUUGCUGUCAUUGGUGAGGAUGCAUCAUCCGUUGAGGGUCAUGUGAAUGCCUUGCAUAUCCAGUACAGCAAGGUGCGACCAGACACCUUGGUGGUCAAAGACCGAAUGCAGCGAACCUUUGCGUGGCGAAGAAGGGAGAUAAGAGAUGGAAUGACUGUGGAGGAUAUACUUAAGAAGUACCCUUUCUUAAAAACACCCUCAGGGUUGUGUGAUGAAGUUGACCGAAUGCAUUCAUCAACUGUCAGUUUAAGACAGCGCUUCAAGGACGGCUUUACCAGUAUUGUGCCAAAGGUGCUUGAGCUUGUUCAAAGAAAUGCUCCAUUGGCCA
Long non-coding RNA from Cyprinus carpio (common carp), 377 nucleotides. RefSeq lists it as uncharacterized. Lineage: Eukaryota; Metazoa; Chordata; Actinopteri; Cypriniformes; Cyprinidae. The transcript is spliced from 3 exons. The record is from RefSeq and is a predicted model, not a curated record.